AAUUCUCAACCCUUUUCGACGUAGCGUCGUGAAGGGCUUGGAUUUUGGAGGUCUUUGCCGGUCCCUGGGAUCGGCUCCUCUCGAACGCAUGUAGUGGAGCUUCGUUCCUGCUGUCAGCCCGCCCUUCGGUGUGAUAAUUCAUCCGCAUCGAUCGAGUGUUUGUGAACCAGGGGAACGCGAGACGUAGAACGU
RNAcentral lists this unclassified non-coding RNA (192 nucleotides) under uncultured Albatrellaceae. RNAcentral's name for it is "sequence contains ITS2". The record is from RNAcentral. Lineage: Eukaryota; Fungi; Basidiomycota; Agaricomycetes; Russulales; Albatrellaceae.